CACCCAGUCUCCGAGCCGGAUAUAUAGAGUGUCACGUUUGGGAGCCGAAAGACCGGAGCCGUUUCCUUGUGGCUGGAGAGCUUCCCGUAGCCUCGGGGAAGGAGCAGGAUUUAGAGGACCACUAGUUGAACCCCAUCCUCGUGCUGGAGGAACAGGAACCUCUUUCAGGAGCUAUAAAAGAAAGGGAGGAAUCAUGUCCACGAUUGCAGCUUUCUAUGGCGGCAAGUCCAUUCUCAUCACGGGGGCCACGGGCUUUCUGGGCAAAGUGCUGAUGGAGAAGCUGUUUCGCACCAGCCCAGACCUGAAAGUCAUUUACAUCCUUGUGAGGCCCAAGGCUGGCCAGACACUGCAGCAGAGGGUUUUCCAGAUCCUAAACAGUAAGACAUGCUGUGCAACUUAACGUCACUGCCACCCGGCAGCUCUUGCUUAUGGCUAGUCAGAUGCCAAAGCUGGAAGCCUUUAUACAUAUCUCUACUGCCUAUUCAAAUUGUAACCUGAAGCACAUCGAUGAAGUUAUCUAUCCGUGCCCUGUGGAGCCAAAAAAAAUCAUUGAUUCCC
This 558-nucleotide small RNA is filed under the name Pongo abelii (Sumatran orangutan). Its description in RNAcentral is "processed transcript". The record is from RNAcentral. Lineage: Eukaryota; Metazoa; Chordata; Mammalia; Primates; Hominidae.